AAUAGGUCCUUUUGAGAUCGAAGAAAUGAUAUCAGAUUCAGUAUGUAGAAUCAACACUGGAAAGAAUAAAAAGUCUUUGGGAUUGUACCAUGUGACAAAACUCAUUCCCCAGUUGGAUUAUUCAAAUUAGCCCGAACUAAUUUGCACUUUUGAGGGGGGGAGAUGUAAGCUUGUAAACUGCAUGUUGUGUACGUGGCCAUAGAGUAAGAUGAUAUAUAAGAAUGACAUUGGCACUGACACACUCAGAUAGAGAAUUUGAUCUUGACCGUGAAGUGAUUUAUGAAAUAUUGGAAGUAAAAAACCUUUAAUUGUCGAUUUUUCUAUUUUUAGAUAAAUCAAAUUUGCGUUAUUUACUCCAGUACCAUCUGACAUAUUACAUAUAUAAAAAUGAAUUACUGUUCGUUAGUCUCGCUAAAUCUUGAGAACGGCUGGACCGAUUUGGCUAAUUUUGGUCUUGAAUUAUUCGUGGAAGUCCAGAGAAGAUUUAAAAGGUAGAUAAAUAUGAAAAUGCUCGGAAUUAUAUAAAAAAACAAACAAUUUUGUUUUUCCUUGAUGAGUCCUCUGUCGGGCGGAUUGCUUUUGUUUUUUUUAAAGUUUAUUUUAUACAAAAGUUUAGGUUCUUUAUUUAUCGAUUGAAGUUUGCCGGGUCCGCUAGUAAAAAAAUAAAAUUUGAAUGGUCCUAGCUUGUAACACAUUUCCGGAUUGGUAAACUUUGUCUUUUGUGUAUGCAAUUAAAAAGUCUUGCAAAGAUUUUUACGUAUGCUACAAAUAGCAUAGAGAGUUUUUCAUAAAAAUGCUGUAAUUUGAAAAGGAUUUUAUGUUGUUUUUUAUUUAAACAAACCGUUCAUAAUUUUAGUAUUUUCCUUGGUUUUUGCGAGUUGUAAAUAUAAUUAAAAUAACAUUUACGUUUUAAUAA
Molecule: long non-coding RNA, 916 nt
Organism: Bombyx mori (domestic silkworm)
Lineage: Eukaryota; Metazoa; Arthropoda; Insecta; Lepidoptera; Bombycidae
Exons: 2
Source: RefSeq, a predicted model, not a curated record